RNAcentral lists this transfer RNA (75 nucleotides) under Clostridia bacterium. Its description in RNAcentral is "tRNA-Glu". It matches the Rfam family "tRNA". From Rfam's summary of the family: Transfer RNA (tRNA) molecules are approximately 80 nucleotides in length. Their secondary structure includes four short double-helical elements and three loops (D, anti-codon, and T loops). Lineage: Bacteria; Bacillati; Bacillota; Clostridia. The record is from RNAcentral.
GGCUCCAUCGUCUAAUGGUUAGGACAUCGCCCUCUCAAGGCGGUAAUAGGGGUUCGAAUCCCCUUGGAGUCACCA